This 147-nucleotide small nucleolar RNA is filed under the name Triticum aestivum (bread wheat). Its description in RNAcentral is "Small nucleolar RNA snoR136". It matches the Rfam family "Small nucleolar RNA snoR136". The record is from Rfam by way of RNAcentral. Lineage: Eukaryota; Viridiplantae; Streptophyta; Magnoliopsida; Poales; Poaceae.
UCUGCUGCUUCUCUUAAGUAUUCGUGUCUGUGAACUAAUUUGUAUGGUUCCCGGGCAGUGAUUAGACGGGAAGCAGAAAGCAAUUGUUCCUCUCGCUAUCCAAUGCGGAAAUUCUGUGAUGCGAUUGGACGUCGAGGAACUACACUG